CGGGUGGGGGCCGGCGGGGGCGGCGCAGGGUCUCCCCUGCGAGGCCAGGCGGAGGUUCGCGGCUCCAGGUGCCCGCUCUGCUCCUCCCAGAAGCUGGACUCACGGGAAACGCAGGCCCGGCCGCCCCGCGAGCCCUCUAUUUACAGCCAGGGCUUGUGAAGGAGGCGGCGCUGAGAAGGCAGCCUUGGGAGGUCCAAGGCGUCUGAAGAUUUCAUCAGGACGUGCCCCCUGCGGCUCCUCCCCGGGGUUUGGGGUCACGAGGAUGUUGCCGCCUGGGACCCCUCCUGGUUACUGCCGUGAACCCGCCGGGCGCGGGGCCUCCUGCCACCUCGACGUCCGGGCUCCAGGCUCCCGGAUCUGGGCCCUUCUCGACAAAGCCGCAAGAGACCCGUGGCCCCUACUUAGAGAGCAGAGCUACCAAACGCCUGGUCACUCAGGCCAGUGACCUCCCACGGGCAUCCUGGGGUCCCCCCUCUUCUCCAGCCUACCUUGAAGACGCUAAAUUUGAAACAGGCUGCGAGUCUUUCCGCCCCCAUCCUGCUCUCCAGUGGGCAGCUCCGUCGUUGCUGGGGUCACUGUCCCCCUAUCCUCUGCCUACCCAGAAAUCUACUCUCAACAUCCACCCAGAGCCAGAGAGAGCUCCGGGAAAUCAAAUGAGCUCCUCUCACCUGGAGAAUGUCAACCAUGUGAGAGAAGAAACUGUCUGUUCGCUGUGGAUCCCUGCUCUGAGAACGGGGUCAGCCACAGGAUGGGUGAACUGAGACCCAGGAGGACAAAGUGCCUGCUCCACACCCCAAGCCAGGGGCCCUGCUCUGUGCGGGGGGAUCCGCCUGCGUGGUUGUGGGGGCCACUUGUGGCUGUCGGGCGUCAUCUAUCCCUGACACAUGGCCAAGGAAGAUAGGGACAAAAGGCACAAAUAUGCCAAAAGACAAAAGACUAAAAGCCACAUGGUUCAGAGGAGACAGAGCUGGAGGCUGGGUGCCCAGUGGCCUGGAAAGCUCCCAGAGGACGAGGGGUCUGAAUGGCUUGAGGAGCCGGUGGACCCAAACUUUGAGGGUCAACUCAUGGGAGGGCCUUAGGCAGGAACAGGCUGAGGCAAAUUCCUCAAGAAGGUAAUUCAGGGACAGAAGCAUCCGCUGGCUGCCUGUCACAGCCAGGGGCCUUUCACACAGAAAUCAGAUCAUGUGUUCGCUGCCUGGAACCUUAGCUGCUUCUGUACUGAGGCAGCUCAACAGACGACCACAAACCGGGUGGCUUCAGACAGGGGUGAUUUGUCUCUCAAGUUCAGGAAACCGGAAGUCUGAAAUGGGGGGCAGGGUCGGUCCCUCCUGGGGCUCCGAGGCAGCAUCUGUUCCAGGCCCCCUCCAGCUUCUGGUGGGGACCGGCCUCCUUGGGGUCCCUUGGCUUGUAGAUGCAUCGCUCCCAUCUCUGCCUCACGGUCACACGACCUUCUCCAUUUGUGUCUUCACACGGCUUCAGACAAGGACGCUAGUCAUUGUAUUUAGCGUCACCCGAACCCAGUACGACCUCAUCUUAACUAAUCACAUCUGCAAAGACCCUCUUUCCAAAGAAAGUCACAUUCUGAGGUUCCGGGAGGGGCAACGCUAUUCAACCCAGUGCAGCUUCCCAUUCUCCCGGAUUGAAAGCUGAGCCCUCUCCAGGCCUGUGGGGCAGAGCAGCCUGGUGCUUGAGACCAGGAGGCUGGAGCUGGGCUGCCCGGGUGAGCACCCAGCUCGGUCGUCACCCCCGUGUGCCUGAUGGUGGGUCAUGGCUCCCUGUUCUUUAUUCCCCUUUUGCCACGUGAUGUCAUGGGGCCUCCCAACGAUGUGGGAUGGCCAGGUGACCUGCUCUGCUCAAUGGGGCACUCGUGGGCUUGACCACGCAGAGGCCCUAAGUGCACUUGUGGGAUCUGGCUUGGUUCUUGGCUUCUGGAAGGUCCUGCCCCGAGGAGCUGCCCUCCUAGGGCUGAUGAGAGCUUCGCAGGGCUGACCUGAGGCCGAUCCCCAGCCUGCGGCCAAGCCCGGCAGCCCGGUGACCCUCCACAGAGUCACCCCAUCGAGCCCAACUCAGAUCAGCUGAACCCAGACAACCUGCCCUCCGCGAGCUGGGAAGUAAGUCACUGCGUUUGGAUGGUUCGUUACAGAUCAACACUGGGACAGUGGCCGAGGAAAACAGAAAAACGCCGCUGGGCACUCAACCCCCCUCUCGGUUUCCCCAUCUGUAAAAUGGGGCUGAUAACAGUACUGGCCUCCUCAGUUGUUGUGAGGGUGAAGUGAGAUAAUAAAGGGGCGGAGGCAAGAGCAGAUGAGGUCCCUGCCCCACGGAGCUCCCACGUUGGCAGGAGAGAGACAGGAAUGUGAAAUCGAGCGGGGCCGCACGUGGCCGGUGGUGAAGGUUGCCAAGAGGGAAGCACAGCAGGAUAGGGAGGCGGGGACAGGAGUGGUGCGGGCUCAACAGGCUGUUCAGGGAGGGACUCACUGAGACAGUGACAUGGGGCAAGGGGCCUGAAGAAAUGAGCAGGGGGCACGAGUGUUCUGCAGGGAGCGUUCAAGGCAGAGGGCACAGCCGGUACAAGGCCCGUGUGUGCGAGGAGCAGUGGGGGCCAGAGUGGCUGCAGGGAGGUGGACGAGGGAACUGUGGGGGCCGAGGUCAGAGAGGUGACAGGACGGGAUCCGUGUACGACCUUGAGGGCCAGUGAAAGGACGCUGGCAUUCCCUGUGCGUGUCAGAGCCCUUGGAUGGGUCUGAGCACAGGAGUGACGUGCUCUGAGUUCAUUUUAGGUGACCCCUCAGGCUGUGUGCGGGGCCAGACUGUGGGGCAGAGGGCAGAAGCAGCCGGACCUGCGAGGAGGCCGCCAGGGCGGGGGCAGGAAGGUGCAGGCCGGGGUCACCAGUGCCAGCUCUGGGAUUUGCACCUGAGGGUCGGCUGACGGGAUCUGCUGAUGGAUGGGGCGGAGGCGGUAAGAGGGAAACAGACCGUCAAGGAGGACGCCAAGGGCUUUGGGCUGAGCGGCUGGAAGGACUGCCGUGCUCCUGAGUCAGGUGUGGGAGGUCUCAGGAGGAGCAGGCGGGAGCAGGGAGCGGCUGAGAGGCAGAGAGACCUUCCAGAAAGGUCUGGGGUCCUGAGCCAACUUGGCCCCCCCUCAAGAGCUUCCUUCAUCUGAGCUGCAAGGACGACCACCUGUGUUGUCCCCGAGCGGGUGACGCCAGCCAGGCUCUGCACUUGUGUCUCCCUCCGAGAGACAAAGGUCAAUGUCACAGCAGUCUGCUCUGAUGCUGGCUUCAAGCCAAGGCCCUUAAUAUUCAAUGAGAAAUCUGCAUUGAUGAAAUUUUCAUUAAAGAAACAUUAUCCGUUUCCCUUGCCUUGUUAUUCUGUGGCUGUGGGUAUCAGGCUAAUUUGGGUUUGAUUACCCCGAUGAUCUGAAGAUUGGAGCAUUAUUAAAAAUUUAGAUGAGCAAUGAUAGGUCUGCGCCUCCCUCUCCUCUCUCAGCCGGAGCACAGGGGCUCUGCUAACGAUCACAACGAAUUCGGGGCAGACAUGGCAAUUAGAGGAGUAUCGAUAGUUCGAGGGGGCUUCAACCCCUCUGCCUCCAACGGAAAUCGGCUGGGUGGCUUCCAGGGCACUCAGAUUUAAUUGAUAAAAUGCAGCAAAAGAGAAUUCCAGUCCUAGACCCAGUUGCAGUCUAAUGAGCUGUAUGCGUGCCUGAGCGGGUCCCCUCCCCUUCCUGUGCCUGAAACGUGCCCCACGUGUGGAGGAAGGAGCCUGCACCAGGCAGAUGCCUAGAAACGGUGCCCGUGGGCUGCGGUCAGCUGCAGAGGGAAUCUGUUGGCCAGCUGUUUUUUUAUCUGUUUAAUGAGCACCUUCCUAGACUUAUGAUCUCGGGCUCUGUGUUUCCUGUCUAUUAAUUGUCUGAUUCUCCCAACCACCAUGAGAGACAGAUGCUCUCAUCAUUCCCACCUCACGGAUGGGGAAACUCUGACCAAGAGGGCUGACGUGGUUUACUCUGGGUCACCUGCCAGGCAGGAGCAAGGGUACGAGUUGAACUCAGUGGUUUGUCCUCCAAACCCUGCUUUAACACCUGUGCUACAAUUCCUCAGUGUUUCAGAAGUAAUUAGGUAUCAAAUUUAAAACAUUUGUAGUUUUCUAUAGAAACAGAACUUACAUAUUAAGAAGUUGGCAGCUCUGGUUCUGUAAAGGUGUCUGUCUCUGGAAUGUCACUAUUUUGUACUUCAUGAGACACUAAUUACUAACAUCAUUUACCAUUUGUCUGUCAGGAGAGAUGGCAGCUUUCAAAACGGGAGCCCAAUCUUUCAACAAGCCCAAGAGAAAAACUGGCAAUGUGCAGGGGGGAAAACCUAUUUGAAAGCAUCAGAGAGCGACUUAGGCUGCCAGGACCUGAGGGACCAGCAUCUCAUACCGAGGGACAUGCACUGAGGGGAGCCCUACAUCCUCCACCUCCUUCCUCUUUGAGGAUUUCCCAAUUCGUAAGUCGGGGGUGAGUGCCGACAGAAACCGAGAACCUUUCAGCAAGCUCAUGAAUCUGGGGACAAAACACUUGAAGUUGGAGGCCCCAAGGCAGCCAGGGUUUGAGGGCCCGAGAUCUCAGAGAAGAUAGGACCCCCUAGAAGAGGCUCUGAUUUGCUGCAGUGUUUUCGCUUUUGAAGCAUUUGCUGAUUCCUAAGCUGUACAGACAUGAGGCUCAGAGGACAAGCAGAAAUUGAGCAGGUGAGAGGCCGAGAAAGUGAGCAACGUCUGCACCAAUAUCAUGACGCCCUAACAGCCGAACUUGGAGUUCGGUUGUCACCCAACAGGUGGAGCCACGGAAAAUGAACGCUGGUUUCCAUUGAGUCCUCCAACAGACUUGUUCUAGGAAGUAAGGACAAACCAAAUAAACCAGAUCUCAUAAAAAUGGAAAAUCA
Equus caballus (horse) is the source of this 4919-nucleotide long non-coding RNA. NCBI's taxonomy places the organism in Eukaryota, Metazoa, Chordata, Mammalia, Perissodactyla, Equidae. The record is from Ensembl.